GCUGUAGUGGCUUAGAGGUAUAGCACUCCCUUGGUAAGGGAGAGGUCGAGGGUUCGAUUCCCUCCUACAGCACCA
Molecule: transfer RNA, 75 nt
Filed under: Holosporales bacterium
Lineage: Bacteria; Pseudomonadati; Pseudomonadota; Alphaproteobacteria; Holosporales
Description: tRNA-Thr
Rfam family: tRNA
About the family: Transfer RNA (tRNA) molecules are approximately 80 nucleotides in length.
Source: RNAcentral